Molecule: long non-coding RNA, 790 nt
Filed under: Capsicum annuum
Lineage: Eukaryota; Viridiplantae; Streptophyta; Magnoliopsida; Solanales; Solanaceae
Description: long non-coding RNA (CANN_LNC018934)
Source: RNAcentral
UACAAUCGCUCAAGAUCCCAUUUUCUCUUCUUUCUUUUUCAAAAUCACUGCUAUGUACCAUUACUGUAGCUGGCAAAUACUAGUGGGUUUUGAAGGGGAAGAAGAGGCAUCACCAGCUGGUAGUGAGUCCGGCGAGAUCCGGCCUGAAUUGACCCAAAAAUAGGUUGUCGUGUGGCAGAAAAAAGGAGAAAAUAGGGGAGACACCGAAAAGAGGUUCACCGGCGGUGAGGGUAGGGGGUUCGGCGGCGUAAUGGAGUUCGCUGACAUUCGCGUCCGACUAGUGGCUGAAAUUCACCGGAAAAAAUGUCAGCUAGACUGAACUUUAGCGGUUUUCCAGCGGGUUUGACCAGAUCUGAUGGGUUUUUGGCCUGGCAUGAUGUUUCUUCUUGCCAGCGACUAAAUCUGGCGAAGUACAAUGAAGAGAUGGAGUCAGCAGUCAUGUUUUUCAGCGAGUUAUCGCCGGAUAAAUAUUUUUUUUACUGUUUUCUCUUUGUUAUUCACUAAUUUUUUAUUAUUUCUCCUCGUUUUUUUCUUUAAUGUUUUACACUCGACCUCUCUUCUCAUUGAUUUUUCUGUUUAAUUUUUUUCUCUUUGUUUUUCUCCUAUAUUUUCACUAAUAUUUUCCUCAUUUUCAUACCAUAUUUUUGUAUGUAUGCGAGUGUGUACCCAUAGUAUGUGCGUGAGUUUUUAGUUUUGUUGUGUACGAGUAUUAUAUUAUGUGGUGUGUGUUUUUCUGAGAGUGACCAAUUGUUGAAUUUGUUGUUAUAUUCCAGCGAAUAGAAAAAUGGAG